UACAGAGGUCUCAAGCGUUGUUCGGAUUCAUUGGGCGUAAAGGGUGCGUAGGCGGCGCGGUAAGUCACCUGUGAAACCUCUAGGCUUAACCUAGAGCCUGCAGGCGAAACUGCCGUGCUUGAGGGUGGGAGAGGUGCGUGGAAUUCCCGGUGUAGCGGUGAAAUGCGUAGAUAUCGUAAGGAAGACCAGUGGCGAAGGCGGGUCUCUGGACAGUUCCUGACGCUGAGGCACGAAGGCCAGGGGAGCAAACGGG
This 253-nucleotide ribosomal RNA is filed under the name uncultured bacterium. Its description in RNAcentral is "partial 16S ribosomal RNA". It matches the Rfam family "Bacterial small subunit ribosomal RNA", at positions 524 to 776 of the family's 1533-position model. The record is from RNAcentral.